Chenopodium quinoa (quinoa) is the source of this 412-nucleotide long non-coding RNA. RefSeq lists it as uncharacterized. NCBI's taxonomy places the organism in Eukaryota, Viridiplantae, Streptophyta, Magnoliopsida, Caryophyllales, Amaranthaceae. The record is from RefSeq and is a predicted model, not a curated record. The transcript is spliced from 2 exons.
AUGACUGAAGAUUUUUCUUAAUGGAACUCCGACGGACCUUCUCUGUAGCCUGCAACGGGGUUCUUCUGAUGAGUGUUUGGAACUUGAUAUUUGUUGGGGUCUUACUAAUUGCGGUACUUACAUGACUGGAAUGAUUCAAGUUGUUAUCAAGACCAAAUUGAUAAAGUGAUGAGAACUCAACAAGCGCAUCGUGUUCUUCUCAGAUCAUAUAAAUAUAAUGGUGGAUACAUGAUGGUAAUAUUGUCAAAAUUCAUAAUGUUGAUUUAGAGUUAAAAGUAGUUAUGAGAUUGUAUAGUUUUUUAUUUAACUUUUUACGUAGUGUUUAAUUAUAAUAAAGAAUGAAUAAUUCUUGUAUGUACGAGCAUUUGAGAAUUUUAUUUGAUAUGAGACAAAUAAAGUUGCUUUUGUUGUA